Long non-coding RNA from Pipistrellus kuhlii (Kuhl's pipistrelle), 262 nucleotides. RefSeq lists it as uncharacterized. NCBI's taxonomy places the organism in Eukaryota, Metazoa, Chordata, Mammalia, Chiroptera, Vespertilionidae. The transcript has 2 exons. The record is from RefSeq and is a predicted model, not a curated record.
UGAAACUUCCCCGAGGUUUCCUUCAGAAGAGAAAAGCAGUAGUAGCUAAGAAAGUUCCUCUUCUCCAUCUUCCAGAAGUUUCUAGCUUCUUCCCAUUCUGGAUUCCACAGGAAGUGAAGAACAGGAAUAGUAAGGUUAGACAAUCUGCCCUUGUGAUAAUAUGGUAGCCUCUAGCCAUAUCUGGCUCUUCAGCACUUAAAAUAUGACUAGUCCAGAGACAUGCUGUAUGUGCAAAAUGCACACCAGAGUUUGAAUAUUGUUU